RNAcentral lists this ribosomal RNA (200 nucleotides) under uncultured bacterium. RNAcentral describes it as "partial 16S ribosomal RNA". It matches the Rfam family "Bacterial small subunit ribosomal RNA", at positions 328 to 539 of the family's 1533-position model. The record is from RNAcentral.
ACGCUCGACACCUACGGGAGGCAGCAGUGGGGAAUAUUGCACAAUGGGGGAAACCCUGAUGCAGCGACGCCGCGUGGAGGAAGAAGGUCUUCGGAUUGUAAACUCCUGUUGUUGGGGAAAAAGAGGAUGGUACCCAACAAGGAAGUGACGGCUAACUACGUGCUAGCAGCCGCGGUAAUCUGAGCGGGCUGGCAAGGCNA